UCCGUAGGCGGUCUUAUAAGUCAGUGGUGAAAGCCCAUCGCUCAACGAUGGAACUGCCAUUGAUACUGUAAGACUUGAAUUUUUGUGAAGUAACUAGAAUAUGUAGUGUAGCGGUGAAAUGCUUAGAUAUUACAUGGAAUACCAAUUGCGAAGGCAGGUUACUAACAAACGAUUGACGCUGAUGGACGAAAGCGUGGGGAGCGAACAGGAUUAGAUACCCCUGUA
RNAcentral lists this ribosomal RNA (225 nucleotides) under uncultured Flavobacterium sp. Its description in RNAcentral is "partial 16S ribosomal RNA". It matches the Rfam family "Bacterial small subunit ribosomal RNA", at positions 568 to 792 of the family's 1533-position model. The record is from RNAcentral. Lineage: Bacteria; Pseudomonadati; Bacteroidota; Flavobacteriia; Flavobacteriales; Flavobacteriaceae.